Molecule: ribosomal RNA, 116 nt
Filed under: Patescibacteria group bacterium
Lineage: Bacteria
Source: RNAcentral
CUUGGUAUCAAUAGCGAAGGGGGUACACCUGUUCCCAUCCCGAACACAGCAGUUAAGCCCUUCAGCGUCGAUGGUAGUAUGGCUUUGCGCCAUGUGAGAGUAGACCGAUGCCAAGA